RNAcentral lists this ribosomal RNA (253 nucleotides) under uncultured bacterium. RNAcentral's name for it is "partial 16S ribosomal RNA". It matches the Rfam family "Bacterial small subunit ribosomal RNA", at positions 524 to 776 of the family's 1533-position model. The record is from RNAcentral.
UACGUAGGGGGCAAGCGUUGUCCGGAAUCAUUGGGCGUAAAGAGCGUGUAGGCGGCUCGGUAAGUCCGGUGUGAAAGCCACAGGCUCAACCUGUGAAUGCCGCUGGAAACUGUCUGGCUAGAGUCCGGGAGGGGCGAGUGGAAUUCCUGGUGUAGCGGUGAAAUGCGCAGAUAUCAGGAGGAACACCAAUGGCGAAGGCAGCUCGCUGGAACGGAACUGACGCUGAGGCGCGAAAGCGUGGGGAGCGAACAGG